RNAcentral lists this ribosomal RNA (410 nucleotides) under uncultured rumen bacterium. RNAcentral describes it as "bacterial SSU rRNA". It matches the Rfam family "Bacterial small subunit ribosomal RNA", at positions 509 to 916 of the family's 1533-position model. The record is from RNAcentral.
CAGCAGCCGCGGUAAUACGAAGGGGGCUAGCGUUGCUCGGAAUUACUGGGCGUAAAGGGCGCGUAGGCGGACAGUUAAGUUGGGGGUGAAAGCCCGGGGCUCAACCUCGGAAUUGCCUUCAAUACUGGCUGUCUUGAGUACGGGAGAGGUGAGUGGAACUCCGAGUGUAGAGGUGAAAUUCGUAGAUAUUCGGAAGAACACCAGUGGCGAAGGCGACUCACUGGCCCGUUACUGACGCUGAGGCGCGAAAGCGUGGGGAGCAAACAGGAUUAGAUACCCUGGUAGUCCACGCUCGUAAACGAUGAGUGCUAGUCGUCGGCUAUGCAUGCUAUGUCGGUGACGCAGCUAACGCAUUAAGCACUCCGCCUGGGGAGUACGGUCGCAAGAUUAAAACUCAAAGAAAUUGACGG